This 379-nucleotide ribosomal RNA is filed under the name uncultured eukaryote. Its description in RNAcentral is "partial 18S ribosomal RNA". It matches the Rfam family "Eukaryotic small subunit ribosomal RNA", at positions 592 to 976 of the family's 1831-position model. The record is from RNAcentral.
CAAUAGCGUAUAUUAAAGUUGUUGCGGUAAAAAAGCUCGUAGUUGGAUUUCUGUUGAGGACGACCGGUCCGUACCAUGUACGCGCAUCUGGUUCGGCCUCGGCAUCCUCUCGUAAGACGUUUCUGCGCUUGAUUGCGUGGAGCGAAUUGCGGGACUUUUACUUUGAGGAAAUUAGAGUGUUCACGGCAGGCUAUCGCCAGAAUACAUUAGCAUGGAAUAAUACUAUAGGAUCUCGAUUCUAUUUUGUUGGUUUCUAGAAGCGGGAUAAUGAUUAAGAGGGACAAUUGGGGGCAUUCGUAUCAACACGUCAGAGGUGAAAUUCUUGGAUUGUGUUGCGACGAACUACUGCGAAAGCAUUUGCCAAGGAUGUUUNCAUUGA